CCGCUUGCCUGCGGCCUCGCCUUUCGGGGCGCGGCCACAGCAUGCAAUCCUUGCCUAUCUCUACCUGUUGUUAUUCCCUCGGCGGGGAGACCCGCCGCUGGGGACAUCAUAAACUCUUAUGUAUAAAGCAUCAAAUCUUCUGAAUCAAACCAAAAUAAUAA
RNAcentral lists this unclassified non-coding RNA (161 nucleotides) under uncultured Pleosporales. RNAcentral describes it as "sequence contains ITS1". The record is from RNAcentral. Lineage: Eukaryota; Fungi; Ascomycota; Dothideomycetes; Pleosporales.